Cinara cedri is the source of this 400-nucleotide non-coding RNA. The record is from the annotation of a GenBank genome assembly. Lineage: Eukaryota; Metazoa; Arthropoda; Insecta; Hemiptera; Aphididae.
UAUCUCGGAAAGUAUUAACUUUUUUCGGAAUUUGUUUUGUAGAACAUUUAAGGAACAAGCGGUUUUACAAUUUUACUUUUAUGUUAUUUUUCGUCACCUUUAUUCUUGAGGAUAAAGCCACUAUUUACUUUUAAUUUUCAGAUAGUGGCCUAAAUAAAAAAAAAAGGAUCAAUAAUAUAGGUGCUAUUUGAAAAUCUAUAGUAGGUAAUGGUUUUAUCCCCAUAAAUAGAGGUGUCAAAACAUAACAUGGAUUUCAAAUUGGCGAGCUGUUUGUUUCUUAAGUGGUCUAUCAAACGNCUUUCCGAAAUAGUGAGUGUGCCCGUUUAGAUGGGACACUCUGUACUUAUAUUUUCUCUUGUUUUCCGGAAAACCAAUUUUUUUUUAUUGUUAACAAUUGUAU